This 152-nucleotide small nuclear RNA is filed under the name Trifolium pratense (red clover). Its description in RNAcentral is "snRNA U4". The stretch from base 1 to 135 matches the Rfam family "U4 spliceosomal RNA". Rfam says of the family: U4 small nuclear RNA (U4 snRNA) is a component of the major U2-dependent spliceosome. The structure of U4 snRNA from yeast and human has been reported. Lineage: Eukaryota; Viridiplantae; Streptophyta; Magnoliopsida; Fabales; Fabaceae. The record is from RNAcentral.
AUCUUUGCGCUUGGGGCAAUGACGCAGCUAAUGAGGUACUAACCGAGGCGCGUCUAUUGCUGGUUGAAAACUAUUUCCAAACCCCCUCUUAGGCUUGGGGUUUCCUAAGCCUUUGAGAAUUUCUGGAAGGGCUCCGUUUUUUGGGUAAAGCC